Molecule: ribosomal RNA, 585 nt
Filed under: Lodderomyces parapsilosis
Lineage: Eukaryota; Fungi; Ascomycota; Pichiomycetes; Serinales; Debaryomycetaceae
Description: Candida parapsilosis partial large subunit ribosomal RNA
Rfam family: Eukaryotic large subunit ribosomal RNA
Source: RNAcentral
ACGGGCCAUGCUUAGUAGCGGCGAGUGAAGCGGCAAAAGCUCAAAUUUGAAAUCUGGCACUUUCAGUGUCCGAGUUGUAAUUUGAAGAAGGUAUCUUUGGGUCUGGCUCUUGUCUAUGUUUCUUGGAACAGAACGUCACAGAGGGUGAGAAUCCCGUGCGAUGAGAUGUCCCAGACCUAUGUAAAGUUCCUUCGAAGAGUCGAGUUGUUUGGGAAUGCAGCUCUAAGUGGGUGGUAAAUUCCAUCUAAAGCUAAAUAUUGGCGAGAGACCGAUAGCGAACAAGUACAGUGAUGGAAAGAUGAAAAGAACUUUGAAAAGAGAGUGAAAAAGUACGUGAAAUUGUUGAAAGGGAAGGGCUUGAGAUCAGACUUGGUAUUUUGUAUGUUACUCUCUCGGGGGUGGCCUCUACAGUUUACCGGGCCAGCAUCAGUUUGAGCGGUAGGAUAAGUGCAAAGAAAUGUGGCACUGCUUCGGUAGUGUGUUAUAGUCUUUGUCGAUACUGCCAGCUUAGACUGAGGACUGCGGCUUCGGCCUAGGAUGUUGGCAUAAUGAUCUUAAGUCGCCCGUCUUGAAMMMMGGRAMMCA